UUUCUGUUGACCACAGAUCUGUUUCCCCUUCACUCAAUUGCUCACAGGGUAUUCAAGUGUCAAAAUGUAGCGUCCAGAUGAGUUUCUUUUCCCCUUCUGAAUGAAAACAUCUGCACUGCUGUCAUGACUUGAACUCAAGCUGCUUUGUCACCGUGGCUUUGGGAACGUUUCUCUAAGCAGGACUAUAUAUUGUCUGACAUGUUUGUCAAAGCAUGAAUGUUUUGCUAUCUGCGUUCUCCAAAAAAUGGAUGGGAACCCAGUUCUGUCAGGCAGUCUGUAUGAGUUUUUACAGCUGCAAAAGAAACACCGUGGCUAACUGUGAACUACUUUAACACUCUUUUUCUGGCUAAAAUAGACAAAAUACCUGAAGUACCACCUAUGAAGUCAAAACACCUAUGUGUAAAAUGUUCAACUGGAGAAUCAGGUAGGGCAAUUUAAGAGAGGAUUAUAGCCUUGUCUGGGGGAGGUAUAGUGAAGAAGAUGCAAAGAGCAUUGUGUCUGACCAAAUCCUAAGGCCGGUGUUUAGUUCUGGUCAGAACGUGGACCCACAGGGCAUGCUUUUGUCCCCUGGUCUGGUGCUGCGUGUGGCAUCAGCUGCCACGUGAGGAGGUUGUGGUAGCAUCACUCAUGGUCAUCUCAAGACUGGUGGCUCAGUUCUGUGGUGUCAGUGCAGGGAGGAGUGCAGCCAAGGCGAGUGCUGAGGCUCCUCACUGUGGACAGGAGAAAGUGAAAAAGCAAGAUGAGAGGUUUAAGGAAUUAUGGAAACAGCAAAGAAAGUUAAUGCUGACGUGUUAUUCACCAAACCCUGCAGUAGUAGUUAAGGGAAACUUAACCUGGUGGAGGGUUGGUUAGAAGCAGGUAGAAGUACUUUUCAUGGGACAAGCCCACAGCAGUGCAGGUAAGCAGAGGUUGAAAGUGAGCUCUCUAAUCUGAGGUGCUGUUAACUUGUUUAUCUUUGUAUUUUUAAACAGGCCUAACGUGUGGAAGGCGUUGGAUUCUCAGACACGAGUCAGAUACUUGGAGAGAUGCAUUUCUUGGAAUUCACAGCCAAAAGAUUUAGUGGGAAAACAUUUGGACACUCAGUGAGUGAGGAAGCGCUCAGAAAUAGUUUUGCCACUUUUAAUGAACUUUAAAACGUUGUUUGGUAAAGAGCAUCACAGAUGAUUUAAGUACAGUAAGCUGAAUGAGAACUCAUUUCUGAGUUUCUAUGGCAUCACUGUAAAAAA
This 1226-nucleotide long non-coding RNA is filed under the name Gallus gallus (chicken). Its description in RNAcentral is "lncRNA (ENSGALG00010012396.1)". Lineage: Eukaryota; Metazoa; Chordata; Aves; Galliformes; Phasianidae. The record is from RNAcentral.